This 425-nucleotide ribosomal RNA is filed under the name uncultured bacterium. RNAcentral's name for it is "bacterial SSU rRNA". It matches the Rfam family "Bacterial small subunit ribosomal RNA", at positions 354 to 796 of the family's 1533-position model. The record is from RNAcentral.
GUGGGGGAUAUUGCACAAUGGGGGAAACCCUGAUGCAGCGACGCCGCGUGGAGGAAGACGGUUUUCGGAUUGUAAACUCCUGUCUUCGGGGACGAAAUUGACGGUACCCGAGGAGGAAGCACCGGCUAACUACGUGCCAGCAGCCGCGGUAAUACGUAGGGUGCAAGCGUUGUCCGGAAUUACUGGGUGUAAAGGGAGCGUAGGCGGGUCAGCAAGUUGGAUGUGAAAUGUACCGGCUCAACUGGUAAAUUGCAUUCAAAACUGUUGGUCUUGAGUGAAGUAGAGGCAGGCGGAAUUCCUAGUGUAGCGGUGAAAUGCGUAGAUAUUAGGAGGAACACCAGUGGCGAAGGCGGCCUGCUGGGCUUUUACUGACGCUGAGGCUCGAAAGCAUGGGGAGCAAACAGGAUUAGAAACCCCAGUAGUCC